GAUGAAGAAACGUAGCGAAAUGCGAUAAGUAAUGUGAAUUGCAGAAUUCAGUGAAUCAUCGAAUCUUUGAACGCACAUUGCGCCCGCCAGUAUUCUGGCGGGCAUGCCUGUUCGAGCGUCAUUACAACCCUCAGGCCCCCGGGCCUGGCGUUGGGGAUCGGCGGAGCCCCCCGUGGGCACACGCCGUCCCCCAAAUACAGUGGCGGUCCCGCCGCAGCUUCCAUCGCGUAGUAGCUAACACCUCGCGACUGGAGAGCGGCGCGGCCACGCCGUAAAACACCCAACUCUUCUGAAGUUGACCUCGAAUCAGGUAGGAAUACCCGCUGAACUUAAGCAUAUCAAUAAGCGGAGGA
Molecule: unclassified non-coding RNA, 353 nt
Filed under: soil metagenome
Description: partial contains 5.8S ribosomal RNA, internal transcribed spacer 2, and large subunit ribosomal RNA
Rfam family: 5.8S ribosomal RNA (bases 1-121)
Source: RNAcentral